CAGUGACAUUCUCAGAAAUAAAGACGGCCUUCAGAAGAAGUCGAAGAAGAAAUAUUUGAGGCCACCAACUGAAAUGAUUUCUCCCACCUCUGUUUUGAUGCCAAGAAGAAGAAGAAGCUGCUUCAGAGAGUGGUGCUUCAUGUCUCAGUGCUGUUUUGUUUAAUAAGAUCCACCACAUGAAGUCAGGGUGGGAGGGUUUUAAUGACCUCUGCAAACUGACCGACCUCUGCAGGUGUGAAGCGGUUUCUCCAGCACAGGGAGCAGCAACCCCCCCCAACAGAAAUCUGACUCUCCAGUCACAGGCAAACAAAAAGCUCCAGCAGGUGGAGGCUGUGUGGGUCGUGCUGGAUGUUGCUGAUCAGAGCCUGUACAUUAGCAGAGGGCUUCUGCUCCCACUGACCCACCUGGACAGUGACUGCAGAGCUGCUCUGGAAAACAGGAAACAGAAAUAAUAUUUAAAAACCCAAACAGGAUUUCUCUAAAGACCACUACACCAUCUUGAAAUCAGUAAUCAAAAAUGCAUCACAAAUUUAUAGAAAAUCAUUGAUUCAUUUUUUUAAAAUUAAAUAUGAAUACAUGGAUGGAUUCUUUAACUUCUCAAUAUAAUUUUUAGUGCAAAAGAACAAACUGACAGUGACUGGCAUUCUCCAUGUACACAGCACAGUUAUGCUGGCCUUCAUAUAAAUAUAGGAAUAA
Molecule: long non-coding RNA, 696 nt
Organism: Archocentrus centrarchus (flier cichlid)
Lineage: Eukaryota; Metazoa; Chordata; Actinopteri; Cichliformes; Cichlidae
Exons: 3
Source: RefSeq, a predicted model, not a curated record